GGCGGCGUAGCCAAGUGGUUAAGGCGGGGGUCUGCAAAACCCCUAUUCAGCGGUUCAACUCCGCUCGCCGCCU
Molecule: transfer RNA, 73 nt
Filed under: Dehalococcoidia bacterium
Lineage: Bacteria; Bacillati; Chloroflexota; Dehalococcoidia
Description: tRNA-Cys
Rfam family: tRNA
About the family: Transfer RNA (tRNA) molecules are approximately 80 nucleotides in length. Their secondary structure includes four short double-helical elements and three loops (D, anti-codon, and T loops).
Source: RNAcentral